Molecule: ribosomal RNA, 492 nt
Filed under: uncultured bacterium
Lineage: Bacteria
Description: partial 16S ribosomal RNA
Rfam family: Bacterial small subunit ribosomal RNA
Source: RNAcentral
AGUGAACGCUGGCGGUAGGCCUAACACAUGCAAGUCGAACGGCAGCACAGUAAGAGCUUGCUCUUACGGGUGGCGAGUGGCGGACGGGUGAGGAAUACAUCGGCAUCUACUUUUUCGUGGGGGAUAACGUAGGGAAACUUACGCUAAUACCGCAUACGACCUACGGGUGAAAGCAGGGGAUCUUCGGACCUUGCGCGAUUGAAUGAGCCGAUGUCGGAUUAGCUAGUUGGCGGGGUAAAGGCCCACCAAGGCGACGAUCCGUAGCUGGUCUGAGAGGAUGAUCAGCCACACUGGAACUGAGACACGGUCCAGACUCCUACGGGAGGCAGCAGUGGGGAAUAUUGGACAAUGGGCGCAAGCCUGAUCCAGCAAUACCGCGUGGGUGAAGAAGGCCUUCGGGUUGUAAAGCCCUUUUGUUGGGAAAGAAAAGCAGCAGGUGAAUACCCCGCUGUUCUGACGGUACCCAAAGAAUAAGCACCGGCUAACUUCGUG